This 607-nucleotide ribosomal RNA is filed under the name Fuscoporia licnoides. RNAcentral describes it as "partial large subunit ribosomal RNA". It matches the Rfam family "Eukaryotic large subunit ribosomal RNA", at positions 229 to 822 of the family's 3401-position model. Lineage: Eukaryota; Fungi; Basidiomycota; Agaricomycetes; Hymenochaetales; Hymenochaetaceae. The record is from RNAcentral.
CGGACUCCCGGUGCUUUGUGAUACGCUCUCGAAGAGUCGAGUUGUUUGGGAAUGCAGCUCAAAAUGGGUGGUAAGCUCCAUCUAAAGCUAAAUAUUGGCGAGAGACCGAUAGCGAACAAGUACCGUGAGGGAAAGAUGAAAAGCACUUUGGAAAGAGAGUUAAACAGUACGUGAAAUUGUUGAAAGGGAAACGCUUGAAGUCAGUCGCGUCUUACUUGACUCAGCCUUGCUUCGGCUUGGUGUAUUUCAAGUAGGAUGGGUCAACAUCGAUUUUGACCGGUGGACAAGGGGUNAAGGAAUGUGGCACUCUUCGGAGUGUGUUAUAGCCUUUUCUCAUAUACAUCGGUUGGGAUUGAGGCCCGCAGCGCGCCCUUGUGGCCGGAGGUUCGCCUCACGUAACGCGCUUAGGAUGUUGGCAUAAUGGCUUUAAGCGACCCGUCUUGAAACACGGACCAAGGAGUCUAACAUGCUCGCGAGUGUUAGGGUGGAAAACCCUUGCGCGUAAUGAAAGUGAAAGUUGAGACCCUCCGCAAGGGGGUGCAUCGACGCCCGGCCCUGAAGUUUACUGACGGUGCUGCGGUAGAGCGCGUAUGUUGGGACCCGAAAG